UAAUACGUAGGGAGCAAGCGUUGUCCGGAUUCACUGGGUGUAAAGGGUGCGCAGGCGGAUUGGCAAGUCAGGGGUGAAAUCUCACGGCUUAACCGUGAAACUGCCUUUGAUACUGCCUAUCUUGAGUUAGGGAGAGGUUGAUGGAAUUCCAGGUGUAGCGGUGAAAUGCGUAGAUAUCUGGAAGAACACCAGUGGCGAAGGCGGUCAACUGGCCCUAAACUGACGCUCAUGCACGAAAGCGUGGGGAUCAAACAGGAUUAGAUACCCUGGUAGUCCACGCCCUAAACGAUGAAUACUUGGUGUUGGUCCUUUUGGAUCAGUGCCGGAGGUAACCUGGUAAGUAUUCCACCUGGGGAGUACGCUCGCAAGGGUG
Molecule: ribosomal RNA, 373 nt
Filed under: uncultured bacterium
Lineage: Bacteria
Description: bacterial SSU rRNA
Rfam family: Bacterial small subunit ribosomal RNA
Source: RNAcentral